UACGUAGGGGGCAAGCGUUGUCCGGAAUCAUUGGGCGUAAAGCGCGUGUAGGCGGUCCGGUAAGUCCGCUGUGAAAGUCGGGGGCUCAACCCUCGGAUGCCGGUGGAUACUGUCGGGCUUGAGUACGGAAGAGGCGAGUGGAAUUCCUGGUGUAGCGGUGAAAUGCGCAGAUAUCAGGAGGAACACCGGUGGCGAAGGCGGAUCUCUGGGCAGUGUCCUGACGCUGAGGAGCGAAAGU
This 238-nucleotide ribosomal RNA is filed under the name uncultured bacterium. RNAcentral's name for it is "partial 16S ribosomal RNA". It matches the Rfam family "Bacterial small subunit ribosomal RNA", at positions 524 to 760 of the family's 1533-position model. The record is from RNAcentral.